RNAcentral lists this ribosomal RNA (950 nucleotides) under Solenocera crassicornis. Its description in RNAcentral is "bacterial SSU rRNA". It matches the Rfam family "Eukaryotic small subunit ribosomal RNA", at positions 54 to 956 of the family's 1831-position model. Lineage: Eukaryota; Metazoa; Arthropoda; Malacostraca; Decapoda; Solenoceridae. The record is from RNAcentral.
CAAUGUCUGAGUACAAGCCGAAACAAGGUGAAACCGCGGACGGCUCAUUAAAUCAGAUAUGAUUCAUUGGAUCUGUACAACCCUACUACUUGGAUAACUGUGGUAAUUCUAGAGCUAAUACAUGCCUUCAGAGUCUCUGACAGUAAUGGAAGAGCGCUUUUAUUAGACCAAAACCCUUCGGACCUUGGGCCAAACCAAUUCCGUGGUGACUCUAGAUAACCCGCUGAGCGCACGGUCGUCCCCAGUCGGCUCGCCCGGCUGCGCGGACUCGGCGCCGCUUCUUGCAAGUGUCUGCCUUAUCAGCUCUCGAUUGUAGGUCAAACGCCUACAAUGGCUAUAACGGGUAACGGGGAAUCAGGGUUCGAUUCCGGAGAGGGAGCCUGAGAGACGGCUACCACAUCUAAGGAAGGCAGCAGGCGCGCAAAUUACCCACUCCCGGCACGGGGAGGUAGUGACGAAAAAUACUGUUGCGAGACUCGAACGAGGCUUCGCAAUUGGAAUGAGUACACUUUAAAUCCUUGUACGAGGAUCAAGUGGAGGGCAAGUCUGGUGCCAGCCGCCGCGGUAAUUCCAGCUCCACUAGCGUAUAUUAACGCUGUUGCGGUUAAAACGCUCGUAGUUUGCCCUCUGCUCCGGACCGGCGGUUCGCCUUAGCGGCGCUUACUGCCCGGCUCCGAGCUAUGUCCCUGCCGGCGCGCCGGGGGUGCUCUUAAACGAGUGUCCCUCGCGGCCGGCGAGUUCACUUUGAAAAAAUUAGAGUGCUCAAAGCAGGCCACAGCUAAAUGGGCCUGAAUGGUGGUGCAUGGAAUGAUGGAACAGGACCUCGGUUCUAUUUUGGGGGUUCUCUGAACCCGAGGUAAUGAUUAAUAGAAGCAGACGGGGGCAUUCGUACUGCGACGAUGAAGUGAAAUUCUUAGACCGUCCCAUGACGUCCUACUGCGAAAAAGACU